This 497-nucleotide ribosomal RNA is filed under the name uncultured bacterium. RNAcentral's name for it is "partial 16S ribosomal RNA". It matches the Rfam family "Bacterial small subunit ribosomal RNA", at positions 28 to 507 of the family's 1533-position model. The record is from RNAcentral.
GAUGAACGCUGGCGGCGUGCCUAAUACAUGCAAGUCGAGCGAACAGAUGAGGAGCUUGCUCCUCUGACGUUAGCGGCGGACGGGUGAGUAACACGUGGAUAACCUACCUAUAAGACUGGGAUAACUUCGGGAAACCGGAGCUAAUACCGGAUAAUAUAUUGAACCGCAUGGUUCAAUAGUGAAAGACGGUUUUGCUGUCACUUAUAGAUGGAUCCGCGCCGCAUUAGCUAGUUGGUAAGGUAACGGCUUACCAAGGCAACGAUGCGUAGCCGACCUGAGCGGGUGAUCGGCCACACUGGAACUGAGACACGGUCCAGACUCCUACGGGAGGCAGCAGUAGGGAAUCUUCCGCAAAGGGCGAAAGCCUGACGGAGCAACGCCGCGUGAGUGAUGAAGGUCUUCGGAUCGUAAAACUCUGUUAUUAGGGAAGAACAAAUGUGUAAGUAACUAUGCACGUCUUGACGGUACCUAAUCAGAAAGCCACGGCUAACUACGUG